Molecule: ribosomal RNA, 253 nt
Filed under: uncultured bacterium
Lineage: Bacteria
Description: partial 16S ribosomal RNA
Rfam family: Bacterial small subunit ribosomal RNA
Source: RNAcentral
UACGAAGGGGGCUAGCGUUGCUCGGAAUCACUGGGCGUAAAGGGUGCGUAGGCGGGUCUUUAAGUCAGGGGUGAAAUCCUGGAGCUCAACUCCAGAACUGCCUUUGAUACUGAAGAUCUUGAGUUCGGGAGAGGUGAGUGGAACUGCGAGUGUAGAGGUGAAAUUCGUAGAUAUUAGCAAGAACACCAGUGGCGAAGGCGGCGCACUGGCCCGGUACUGACGCUGAGGUGCGAAAGCCAGGGGAGCAAACGGG